UAAAGGCGCUUUCUGUGUCCUCUAAAUGAGUCGUUGAAUAUCAACAAACCUACUUACAGCUCUGCAAUGUAUUUAGACGAAGAAAUAUCCCGGAAGUAUUUCCGGGGUCUUUGACCUCGUGUAUAAAGGAAACACAUUUGACUGAUUUGACUGAGAUGGAAAAAAUCCUACUCUUGGGAUGACAGAAGAGGCGCAAGAUUUCUCAAUGUUGAGCCUGUAAGGUUUUAGAAGGUCAAACCAUUUAUAACCAAAAGCAUGACCUUCAUGACGUUUCCUCUACAGUCUCUAUCAGAUUUGGAACAUUCGGUACACAUUAGUCCUCAAUAUUUCAACGGCUGCUUCCUCUGAGUAGGACUGAAUGGAUGUUGGAUUCAUUCAUUUCGAGCACUGACGAAUUAAACGUAAUGUCAGGAACCUUCUCCAUUAUCACAACGGACUGAUCAUUUAUAUAUUUACUGAAAGCAUUUACCUCUGUCUCCUGUUUAUGAAAAGUUUAAGAGCCAAGAUGAAAUAAAUGAACAAAUAGGGAAACUCAAGAAUGGAUAAAUGAG
Macrobrachium nipponense is the source of this 551-nucleotide long non-coding RNA. RefSeq lists it as uncharacterized. Lineage: Eukaryota; Metazoa; Arthropoda; Malacostraca; Decapoda; Palaemonidae. The transcript has 4 exons. The record is from RefSeq and is a predicted model, not a curated record.